Molecule: long non-coding RNA, 394 nt
Filed under: Homo sapiens (human)
Lineage: Eukaryota; Metazoa; Chordata; Mammalia; Primates; Hominidae
Description: non-protein coding lnc-PANK3-2:4
Source: RNAcentral
ACUCUCUUCCCUUGCUGCAGCAACUGCACAGAGCCUGUGCUUAAGAUGGCAGGAUCGCAAGACAGAGCAACUGGAGCAAGUCCUCAUUAAGAAGAGCCGCCCGAUGCAUUUGGACUGCGAUGUGUUACGCCCAUGAGAUUUCAGGGUUAAUUUGUUACCUGGCCGUGGCCUAUCCUCUUCCAGCAGAUACAGAGGCUACUGCAGUUUGCAACUUUGCAGAUACCAGCAGAGGAAGAAAAACCUGGGAGACUGCUGCUAACCUAAUGUGGAGACUUGACUUAAACUUCAGCCAGACAAAGGCGGAAUCUUAAUAUGGAGGGGCCUGGCUCUGCAGGGAGGUCACCUGGGCUGGCUGGAUUUCAAUCCAGUUACACAGCAAAAAAGUUACAACCCA